This 281-nucleotide ribosomal RNA is filed under the name uncultured Entrophospora. RNAcentral describes it as "uncultured Claroideoglomus partial 18S small subunit ribosomal RNA". It matches the Rfam family "Eukaryotic small subunit ribosomal RNA", at positions 591 to 869 of the family's 1831-position model. Lineage: Eukaryota; Fungi; Glomeromycota; Glomeromycetes; Entrophosporales; Entrophosporaceae. The record is from RNAcentral.
CCAAUAGCGUAUAUUAAAGUUGCUGCGGUUAAAAAGCUCGUAGUUGAAUUUCGGAAUUGAUGCAUCGGUCGUGCCUUAAGGGGCAUGAACUGGUGUAGCCAAUUUCUCACCUUCUGGUGAAUUGUUGAUGUUCUUAAUGGGUGUCUCAAUGAACUAGAAUUUUUUACUUUGAAAAAAUUAGAGUGUUUAAAGCAGGCAUUAAUUUGCUUGAAUACAUUAGCAUGGAAUAAUGAAAUAGGACAGUGGUUCCGUUUUGUUGGUUUCUAGGAUCACGUAAUGAU